This 498-nucleotide ribosomal RNA is filed under the name uncultured bacterium. RNAcentral's name for it is "partial 16S ribosomal RNA". It matches the Rfam family "Bacterial small subunit ribosomal RNA", at positions 28 to 507 of the family's 1533-position model. The record is from RNAcentral.
GACGAACGCUGGCGGCGUGCCUAAUACAUGCAAGUCGAGCGGACGGAUGGGAGCUUGCUCCCAGACCGUCAGCGGCGGACGGGUGAGUAACACGUGGGCAACCUGCCUGUAAGACUGGGAUAACUCCGGGAAACCGGGGCUAAUACCGGAUAACUCUUUCCCUCACAUGAGGGAAAGCUGAAAGAUGACAUCUCGCUAUCACUUACAGAUGGGCCCGCGGCGCAUUAGCUAGUUGGUGAGGUAACGGCUCACCAAGGCGACGAUGCGUAGCCGACCUGAGAGGGUGAUCGGCCACACUGGGACUGAGACACGGCCCAGACUCCUACGGGAGGCAGCAGUAGGGAAUCUUCCGCAAUGGACGAAAGUCUGACGGAGCAACGCCGCGUGAGUGAUGAAGGUUUUCGGAUCGUAAAACUCUGUUGUCAGGGAAGAACAAGUACCGGAGUAACUGCCGGUACCUUGACGGUACCUGAACAGAAAGCCACGGCUAACUACGUG